CUCAGCUGCAACCAGCCUCCUUCCCUGUUUCAUAGUGUCUGGCCAGCCAGUGGUCUUUCUUAAAUCUCUGAGGAUUCUUCAGAGCAGGGUGGUAUGAUAGCCCCCACCUCCCUGGGUUGCUAUGCAGUUUCUAUGGCAGCAGCAUCCUCAGACUCAACUUUCACCCAUCAUUUAGAGCCAAUUAAGCCCGAGCGGGAAGCAGCAACAACUCUUCUCUCAGCUGUGGGAUUGGUGUGUAGAGGACACAUCACACAAGCAGCCAUAUUGAAGACCCCUUGGGGGGAACCCCAAUAUCACAGAAGAUCCUUCAAGACCUCAGCAAUUGCCUCUGCAUCUCUUCUGACUUUCUCGUCAUUCUCUCUCUCUCUCUCUCUCUCUCUCUCUCUCUCUCUCUCUCUCUCUCUCUCUCUCUCUCUCUCUCUCUCUCUCUCUCUCUCUCUCUCUCCUGUUUGCCCCUCUAUCUCUAUUUCUCAUUCCCUCUUUCUCCCUCUUUCUCUUUCCCUGUCUUUCAGUUCAUUUGUUUCUUUGCUCCCCCACCCCAUACGUCUCUUCCAUCCUAUUUUUAUUUCUGAUCCACCAGAGGAGAAAAAUAGUAAAAAAAAAUGCCAAUUGCUCAGUUAUUGGAACUAUGGAAAAAGAUCGAGGUGGAGCCCAUGGAAAUAGAG
Molecule: long non-coding RNA, 665 nt
Filed under: Monodelphis domestica (gray short-tailed opossum)
Lineage: Eukaryota; Metazoa; Chordata; Mammalia; Didelphimorphia; Didelphidae
Description: lncRNA (ENSMODG00000039249.1)
Source: RNAcentral